CGCGCUAGCUGGCGCAUUCUGCAGAGCAUUGAGCAGUCGGAGCAAGCUAAGGGCAACGAGAAGCGCGUGGGCAUGAUCAAGAGGUACCGCGCGGUGGUGGAGGGCGAGCUCGACAAAAUCUGCCAUGAGAUCCUGGACCUGCUCGACAAGUACCUGGUGCCCAGCGCCUCUACCACCGAGGCCGCUGUCUUCUACCUGAAGAUGAAGGCCGAUUACCACCGCUACCUGUCUGAGUACAAGACGGACGAGGCCAAAGCGGCGGCCGCGGAGUUGACGCUGGCCGCCUACAAGGUCGCCCAGGAGAAGGCCGACGAGCUGCCCACGACCAACCCCAUCAGGUACACAAGGUUUGGGGCCGGAGCGCGCGCCUGGAGCGGCAUGCAUGCAAGUUUCUGACCUUGUUUCGGUGCCGAAUGUCGCGAAUGCAGGCUGGGUCUGGCGCUCAACUUCUCGGUCUUCUACUACGAGGUGAUGAACCAGCCCGCGCUGGCCUGCUCGCUGGCGAAGAAGGCCUUCGAUGAGGCUAUCUCUGACCUGGACUCGCUCGGCGAGGAUUCCUAC
Molecule: long non-coding RNA, 561 nt
Filed under: Chlamydomonas reinhardtii
Lineage: Eukaryota; Viridiplantae; Chlorophyta; Chlorophyceae; Chlamydomonadales; Chlamydomonadaceae
Description: long non-coding RNA (CREI_LNC000486)
Source: RNAcentral